GUGGGGAAUCUUCCGCAAUGGACGAAAGUCUGACGGAGCGACGCCGCGUGAGUGAAGAAGGCCUUCGGGUCGUAAAGCUCUGUCAUCGGGGACGAAUGGUCGAUGGAGUGGAAAGCCAUUGAAAUGACGGUACCCGAGAAGGAAGCCACGGCUAACUACGUGCCAGCAGCCGCGGUAAUACGUAGGUGGCAAGCGUUGUCCGGAAUUAUUGGGCGUAAAGCGCGCGCAGGUGGGAUCUUAAGUCUAUUUUGAAAGUUCGGAGCUUAACUCCGUGAUGGGAUAGAAACUGGGAUUCUUGAGUACCGGAGAGGAAAGCGGAAUUCCCCGUGUAGCGGUGAAAUGCGUAGAUAUGGGGAGGAGCACCAGUGGCGAAGGCGGCUUUCUGGACGGUGUCUGACACUGAGGCGCGAAAGCCAGGGGAGCGAACGGGAUUAGAAACCCGUGUAGUCC
Molecule: ribosomal RNA, 450 nt
Filed under: uncultured bacterium
Lineage: Bacteria
Description: partial 16S ribosomal RNA
Rfam family: Bacterial small subunit ribosomal RNA
Source: RNAcentral